This 525-nucleotide ribosomal RNA is filed under the name Rhizobium sp. RNAcentral describes it as "bacterial SSU rRNA". It matches the Rfam family "Bacterial small subunit ribosomal RNA", at positions 91 to 651 of the family's 1533-position model. The record is from RNAcentral. Lineage: Bacteria; Pseudomonadati; Pseudomonadota; Alphaproteobacteria; Hyphomicrobiales; Rhizobiaceae.
GGGAGUGGCAGACGGGUGAGUAACGCGUGGGAACAUACCCUUUCCUGCGGAAUAGCUCCGGGAAACUGGAAUUAAUACCGCAUACGCCCUACGGGGGAAAGAUUUAUCGGGGAAGGAUUGGCCCGCGUUGGAUUAGCUAGUUGGUGGGGUAAAGGCCUACCAAGGCGACGAUCCAUAGCUGGUCUGAGAGGAUGAUCAGCCACAUUGGGACUGAGACACGGCCCAAACUCCUACGGGAGGCAGCAGUGGGGAAUAUUGGACAAUGGGCGCAAGCCUGAUCCAGCCAUGCCGCGUGAGUGAUGAAGGCCUUAGGGUUGUAAAGCUCUUUCACCGAUGAAGAUAAUGACGGUAGUCGGAGAAGAAGCCCCGGCUAACUUCGUGCCAGCAGCCGCGGUAAUACGAAGGGGGCUAGCGUUGUUCGGAAUUACUGGGCGUAAAGCGCACGUAGGCGGAUAUUUAAGUCAGGGGUGAAAUCCCGCAGCUCAACUGCGGAACUGCCUUUGAUACUGGGUAUCUUGAGUAUGG